GGUCUUGUGGUGUAGUGGUUAUCACGUAUCCUUCACAUUUAAUGUACGGAUAAGGUCAUCAGUUCGAUCCUGGUCAAGAUCA
This is a non-coding RNA of Tulasnella sp. 419, 82 nucleotides long. NCBI's taxonomy places the organism in Eukaryota, Fungi, Basidiomycota, Agaricomycetes, Cantharellales, Tulasnellaceae. The record is from the annotation of a GenBank genome assembly.